RNAcentral lists this ribosomal RNA (253 nucleotides) under uncultured bacterium. Its description in RNAcentral is "partial 16S ribosomal RNA". It matches the Rfam family "Bacterial small subunit ribosomal RNA", at positions 524 to 776 of the family's 1533-position model. The record is from RNAcentral.
GACGAACCGUGCGAACGUUGUUCGGAAUCACUGGGCUUAAAGGGCGCGUAGGCGGCCGUCCAAGUCAGGGGUGAAAUCCCGCAGCUUAACUGCGGAAGUGCCUUUGAUACUGGGUGGCUCGAGGGAGAUAGGGGUCUGUGGAACGGGUGGUGGAGCGGUGAAAUGCGUUGAUAUCACUCGGAACGCCGGUGGCGAAAGCGACGGACUGGAUCUCUACUGACGCUGAGGCGCGAAAGCCAGGGGAGCAAACGGG